UUUUUUUUUUUUUUUUUUUUUUUUUUUUUUUUUUCUUCUUUUCUUCUUUUUUAUCUUUUUUUUGUCCCUCUGUCGCCCAUCCCAGCGGCGGGGGGGGUGGGGGUGUGUAUUUCGUACUUUCCCGCUCAGCACCCCGCCAGUGACGACCUCCCGUGCCACAUGCGAGCAUCAACUGGACACCUGCUCUGCUAACGAAGGACUCCUUUGUAAUACCUGGAAAGUGGCAAGAUAGUUCAACGCACUCUUCCUAACUUGCUCCUGCCCCUUCAGCAGGCAGGGUCUGACCAGGCAUUGCUGGCAUUCCUUGCAUUCCCAAAACAUCAUCACAAGACAGAAACUGGAGUGGGCGGGGGCUGUCAUCUUGUCUUCCCUUCUAGCUCAGGUUAAAUGUGCUUAUUAAUUUAACCAUUGGUCCGCAGCAGUCUCCCAAGCGCUCAUUUGCAUUAAUGAUCAGUAUAAUUCAAAGAAGGAUGUAGCACUGGUUUUCAACAAUAAAAAUCCUAUGCUUGU
This is a long non-coding RNA of Tyto alba (common barn owl), 510 nucleotides long. RefSeq lists it as uncharacterized. NCBI's taxonomy places the organism in Eukaryota, Metazoa, Chordata, Aves, Strigiformes, Tytonidae. The record is from RefSeq and is a predicted model, not a curated record. The transcript has 2 exons.